Long non-coding RNA from Homo sapiens (human), 1342 nucleotides. NCBI's taxonomy places the organism in Eukaryota, Metazoa, Chordata, Mammalia, Primates, Hominidae. The record is from Ensembl.
GGACUGAAAACAUGGCUGUUAAGAGAAGUAUGUGCUGUCGUAAGAGCCUGCAGUGAAGGAGCUGGCCUUGAUGAAGCAGCAGAACGUGAAAUGCCAAAACAGAUGGAGUUGCUUGGAUACAAGGAGAAUCUUACAGAAUACAAAUGAACUUGAAGGCAUUAGUAAUAUUUUCAAAAUAAUAGAGAAAUGACACAAAGAGUGAAAGAGGUGAAAUCUGUCUUUGAUGGGAAUAAUAUCUAAAAGGAGUAUUGUACAUAUCUGCUGGCAGCUUUAAAAAAAUUAAUGAUUACUGAAAUUCAGAAAUGUCAACAGUAUGAAAUGAGCAAAAUUACUUCCCUAACAAGAUUUUAUAAGAGAUAAAGUAGUGGGAUAUUUCCUUGAAAUAAUGUUCAUCAUCAAUGCUGAAGUUUACAGAGGACAAAAAUAUGAAAUCAUGUGUUCAUAGACAGCCCCAGGACACACACAGUGGAUGCAUUGUGUUCUCCUGGGUUGCAUAACUACUUUGAAAGAAGUUUUCUUUUCUGUGUCAUAAAAGAAGACUUUUUGGCUCUGCCAGGAUACUCUACCAUUUGGCCCCAUAGACUUCAAGCAUGCCUGAAGAUACGUGCCAAUGGCUUGUUGGUUUUUGAAGAUCAUUCUGAUCUCUGCUGAGUUACCCAACUGGACUCAGAAGGGUCUGACCCACGUGCCACAUUCCAGCUGUUUGCUUGUUUGUUUUUAAUCUCAACCUAGUUUAAUGGGAAGAAGGCUAAAUAAAUGGGGAAGCCAUCUUGUUUUCCACAUCACUGGCUCUAGCAUGCUAUAGAAGAUCACCAUGACAACAGGAGCUGGUUUGCCUGGUGUGAAGACAACAGUGUAGGCCUCAUUUCCUAGAUGCAUGUUUCUACUAAAGUUGAUUCACCAAUUAAAAGACUCUUUUCUGUCCUUGGGGGCUUCAGAGAUGCAAAUAGUGUUGGAAAAGCUGGCUGGUCAGCUGCUACACCUAGUAACUCCUCUUGAUUAUCUAAAAAUAAAAUGACUCUUGUUUAAUUUUUUUAAAAACUAGGUAUUUCUGAUUCCCACUGAGCUGGGAGUUAAUACUCAAAUUGAGAAGACUUGCUUGAAAUUGUGAACUACUGUCCUUGUUAUAACUUGUGAUUACUCUUUAAAUUCUUUAAAAAAGAUUAUUCUGAAUGUGUUUUUAAGCAUCCUAUUAUCACGUUAUGAGAUACACAGUAAUGCCUUGUUAACUCUUCAUGUCAUUCAUUAUGUGAAUAAGAAACAGAAUGUCAUGAUGAAAGUUUAAGUAGAUUUUUAAAAAGCAUAUAAAAAAUGUGUGAGGAUGACACAAAAGAAAAAUUUA